CAUUACUGACACUGAGGAACGAAAGCAUGGGUAGCGAAGAGGAUUAGAUACCCUCGUAGUCCAUGCCGUAAACGAUGUGUGUUAGACGUUGGAAAUUUAUUUUCAGUGUCGCAGCGAAAGCAAUAAACACACCGCCUGGGGAGUACGACCGCAAGGUUAAAACUCAAAUGAAUUGACGGGGACCCGCACAAGUAGUGGAGCAUGUGGUUUAAUUCGAAGAUACGCGCAGAACCUUACCAACACUUGACAUGUUCGUCGCGACUUUAAGAGAUUAAAGUUUUCGGUUCGGCCGGACGAAACACAGGUGCUGCAUGGCUGUCGUCAGCUCGUGUCGUGAGAUGUUGGGUUAAGUCCCGCAACGAGCGCAACCCUUACUUUUAGUUGCCAUCAUUAAGUUGGGCACUCUGAAAGAACUGCCAGUGAUAAGCUGGAGGAAGGUGGGGAUGACGUCAAGUCCUCAUGGCCCUUACGUGUUGGGCUACACACGUGCUACAAUGGUAUUUACAAUAGGAAGCAAAACGGCAACGUUAAGCAAAUCCUUAAAAAAUACCUCAGUUCGGAUUGCACUCUGCAACUCGAGUGCAUGAAGCUGGAAUUACUAGUAAUCGUGGAUCAGCGUGCCACGGUGAAUGCGUUCCCGGGUCUUGUACACACCGCCCGUCACACCAUGGGAGUUGGUUCUACCUUAAGGCAAGGUUUUAAACCCUUGACCACGGUAUAGUCAGCGACUGGGGUGAAGUCGUAACAAGGUAACCGUA
RNAcentral lists this ribosomal RNA (758 nucleotides) under uncultured bacterium. RNAcentral describes it as "bacterial SSU rRNA". It matches the Rfam family "Bacterial small subunit ribosomal RNA", at positions 735 to 1504 of the family's 1533-position model. The record is from RNAcentral.